CAGCAAUGGACGGGGUCAUUGGCCUGCAACAGCCUGGCCCUUGGAUGGGACCAUACAAGGCUGACUGCAAGGGAAACAUGAACACAUUUCCCGCACUUCCCACUCCCUGCUGAUGCUGAAUGGCUUUUCAUGGAAGCACUUAACAGUGGUUGUAGAAGGACUGCCAUUUUUUUCUACAUGGCUCAUGGGGACCCAGCUGUGAUGGCAGUGCUGAUCCACAACCCAACAGUAUGGGCUUUCUCCACCCACACUCUUUCUGGGGGACAACAUCUUACUCUUUUGCCCUGGCUGGAGUGCAGUGGUGUGAUCAUGGCUCACUGUUGCCUUGAACUCCUAAGCUCAAGAAAUCUUCCUGUCUUAGCAGCCUGAGUAGCUGGGACCAUAGGAUGAUAUAAAGUACAUGAAGCAAAAAGAUGACAUCAUCUAAUCGUGUUACUGUGAGCAGAGAAGAAUUCAAAUUCAGGCAUCCAGGGUAACCAAUUUUAUGGGACACAUGUGACUCAGCCUUAGCCUCCUUCUCUACAAUUACAUUUCCCCACCUGGGAUUUCACAGAUCAGCAGUAAACAAACUCCAAGUUUCAUUUCCGUAAAGUGACAGAAGAUGGGUCCCCUGAGUGAAGACGGCCUUCUACCCUUCAUCUGAGAAAUUUAAACCAGUAGAUUUGAUAAUAAAUGUUAAGGGUAUUCAAUUAACAUACAAAGUGGCAGCUGGAAAGGGCACCGCAGACAGAUGUCUGGCUAGAGUCAGUUCUGUGCCCAGGAGAGACAAAGUAGCUAAUAAAUGCUGUUCUCUAUUUAUGUGUUGACUUCUGAGACACUCCACUUUGAGUGUUUUCUUGGUAAAGAGUUCAUCUGAUCUCAAGAACCCACCCCCCAAGGAGGGAAAGUCCAUUGUCUUUGCCUUAGAUUGGCAGGUAGAGUAAAUGAAAAAUUAAGAAAUUAUGUGAAUUCCCCCAAAGAGAAGAGAAGGGCUAGAGUGACUAUUUUAUGUUACGUGGAGAUGAGGGUGUGCUUAUUCUUUCAGCUGACAUAAUCUAUUAACAUAUGUAAAAUGCUUAUAAAGAGUCUCCAGCACAUGUUAAGUGCUGAAUAACACAGCCACCACCACCACCAGCAUCACAUACUAUUGACAGGCAUUGUACUAACUUCCUGGGAUUCAAACAUUAAACAUACAUAUUAAACAUAUGUACAAAUAAAACACCUCUAUGUGUUCAAAAAAUACACGUAUACAAAUGAAUAAGUCCAAUAGACUUCUGUGAAAAGUGAAUCUACAAAGACUCACAUAAAAUCAUGGUUAUGGCUGGUAGACUAGCAGGUUAAGUGAAGGAGGUCUUCAAGGAAGAGUUAGCACAAUCUAGGAACUGUUCACCAAGCAGGUAAGAGAAAAAGACCUUCACAAACACGGAAGAAACAAACACACCCUGGUAAACUUGGGGAAUUAUAAGAAGCCCAGUUUGACUGUUGACUCUGAUGUGAUGAGUUAAGGGAAAGAAAUGAGGCUAGGAGGAGGUAAACUUGUGGGCUCACUUUGUGGAAGUCUUUGCUGCCCUACUAAGGAAUUGGAGCUGUAUGUCAUAGAAAUCCAUUUGACAAUUUCAAGGGGGCCAUGUUACAGGAUCUCUAAAGAUAGCAUGCCCUUCAAUUUGCAAAAACACAUGCCAUUUAAACUCCCUGUGCUGACUUCCUCACUAAUAGAGUGAAGGUUAUUAUGGAUGGAAGGAGUAACAUGAUAGAAGCAAAAGCAACGCUAAAACAUUACAGGGAUGUAUGAUAUACUAGUUUAUUUUCACACUACUAUAAAGAACUACCUGAGACUGGGUACGUUAUAAAGAAAAGAGGUUUAAUUGACUCACAGUUCCACAUAGCUGGGGAGGCCUCAGGAAACUUACAAUCAUGGAGAAAGGCCAAGGGGAAGAAAGGCAUGUCUUACAUGGCAGCCAGGGAGAGAGAGCAAGGAUGAAAUCAUCAAAUCUAGUGAGAACUCACUAUCCCGAGAACAGCUGAGGGAAAUCCAACCCCAAUGAUCCAGUCAUCUCCCAACAGGUCCCUCCCCUGACACAUGUGGAUUAAAAUUCUACAUGAGAUUUGGGUGGGGACAAAGAACCAAACCGUAUCAAGGGAAAUCACAGAAUUUUGUGUUGUCAUCAAAAAUUUGAAAAAAGCAGGGUGGAGGUGAGUCUUAUCACAUCUCCAUUUAACUUGCCUGUCUGAUUCUUAUAGAAGUUGGAUGGGUUUCAGACACAGCCAAUGGAUUAUUGCAAACAAAACAGAGUUGACUCCAAAAUUGCUAUAGCUAUUCCAGCUGUAGUCAUUUUACUGGAUCAAAUAAACACAGCUUAGGAACGUAGUAUGGAAUUACUCAAAAAAAUUAUUUACUUCUAUCCCAGGGAUCCACAAGCAAUACCCAUGGGUAAAAUCUGAUCCUCAGUUUUUAUAAAUAAAGUUUUAUUGGAACACAAUCAUGCCCAUUCCCUAACAUAUUGCCUAUGGCUACUUUUAUGCCACAGUGACAGAGUUGAAUAGCUGCAAGAAAGAUUGUGGCUCACAAAGCUUAAACUAUUUAGUAUCUAGCUCUUUUUAGAAAAAGUUUGUUGACACCUGCCCUAUCAUAAUGAAGACGAGAAGCAGGCUGCUUUCACGUAGCAUAAACAUCAGUAUACCUCUCCUGAAACUAUCCCAGGCCAUGAUAACUCUUAUGUGCUCUUCAAAACUCAGUCCACAGAAUUUUGAUCAUUUUAAUAUGCCACAGAACAUCUUACUGGUCCACAUACACAUUUGGUUUCUUGCUGAUAGGAUCUGGUGAUCAGAAAAUAGAAAGUGCCUCUGAAAGAGAAAACCUGCAUGAUCUUGCUUGUUUAUAGAUUAUAAGUGUCAAACUCUUAUAAGCAAGUUGAAUGGUGGUUACUAGAGGCUGGGCUAGGGGUGGAGGGGAAGACCGGGGAGAUGUUAGUCCAAGAAUACAAUAUUUCAGAUCAACCAGAGAAAAAGGUUCAGGAUAACUAUAUUAUACAAUACAGGGACUAUGGUUAAUAAUAAUAAUGUAACAUACUUGAAAAUUGUGAAGAGAGUAGACUUUAAGUGUUUUCACCAUAAAAAACAUUUUUAAGGUAAUGGAUAUGUUAAUGAGUUUGAUUUAGUCAUUACACAAUGUAUACACUUAUCAAAACAUUAUAUUGUAUGCCAUAAAUGUAUACAACUUUUGUCAAUUAAAA
Molecule: long non-coding RNA, 3212 nt
Filed under: Homo sapiens (human)
Lineage: Eukaryota; Metazoa; Chordata; Mammalia; Primates; Hominidae
Description: HSALNT0144386
Source: RNAcentral